RNAcentral lists this long non-coding RNA (480 nucleotides) under Elaeis guineensis (African oil palm). Its description in RNAcentral is "long non-coding RNA (EGUI_LNC003500)". Lineage: Eukaryota; Viridiplantae; Streptophyta; Magnoliopsida; Arecales; Arecaceae. The record is from RNAcentral.
CAUGCAUGUGGUAGUGGGCUGUUGGUGAUACGCCGUGCAAGAUAUUGAAAAACUUUGCCAUUUGGUUGAGUAUAAUUUAUUAUUUUGAAAAUCUGAAUAAGUAGACCACUUUGAUCUAGUACCCAGCAUUACGAACUUGUGUGAGCCACUGGUUUGAGUGGUUCAACUAUAGAAAUCAUCUAAGUUAAUGACUUAUUAGUUCAACCAAGGUUCUGUGUCUCAACAGGAUGGGGGAGUCCCGACAGUCCAUUUCUAUUCCCGAGAGUAAACGAGAUCGAAAUGGAUCGGGAUUUCGAAAUCUAUCCAUAUGGGGAGAGAAGAGAAAGAGGAAAGAGGAAAGAAGGAAAGGAAAGAUGAAGAAAAAGUGAAAGGAACGAAAAAAAGAAAGAGAAAAAUAAAAUAAAUGAAAUAAAAAAAAUAAAGAAAAAAAAAGUGGAAGAAAAAGAAAGAAAAAAAAAAGAAAGAAAAGAAGAAGAGGAG